CUACGGGAUGCAGCAGCCGCGAAACCUUUACAAUGCACGCAAGUGUGAUAAGGGGAUCCCAAGUGCUUUACUUCGGUAAGGCUUUUGCCAAGCAUAAAUAACUUGGAGAAUAAGUGGUGGGUAAGACUGGUGCCAGCCGCCGCGGUAACACCAGCGCCACAAGUGGUAAUCACGAUUAUUGGGUCUAAAGGGUCUGUAGCCGGUUUGAUAAAUUUUUUGUGAAAUUGUUAAGCUUAACUUAACAUUGUGCGAAAAACACUAUCAAACUAGAGACCGGGAGGAGAUAGAAGUAUUCUGGGGGGAGUGGUAAAAUGCUAUAAUCCCCAGAGGACUACCUAUGGCGAAGGCAUCUAUCUAGAACGGUUCUGACGGUGAUAGACGAAAGCUAGGGGAGCGAUCCGGAUUAGAUACCCCAGUAGUC
RNAcentral lists this ribosomal RNA (421 nucleotides) under uncultured archaeon. Its description in RNAcentral is "partial 16S ribosomal RNA". It matches the Rfam family "Archaeal small subunit ribosomal RNA", at positions 323 to 746 of the family's 1478-position model. The record is from RNAcentral.